This is a long non-coding RNA of Panicum hallii, 889 nucleotides long. RefSeq lists it as uncharacterized. The transcript is spliced from 4 exons. The record is from RefSeq and is a predicted model, not a curated record. Lineage: Eukaryota; Viridiplantae; Streptophyta; Magnoliopsida; Poales; Poaceae.
ACCACGGCCAUCGCCGGCUCCGACCACCCCGAACCCGGCUCGGCGGCGGCGCUCAGACCGGAACGUCUCCAUGCCCCGCGGCAAGAGCACCCGGGCGUCCCAUCCUCCCCAAAUUCCCCUUCUCCGAAACGAGAAGGUACGGGACGAGAUUGGAGGCGGCGCCGCGGUGUACAGCACCAUUGCGCCCACCGACAGUUACUCGAUUAGGAUGAGCGCCUCGGCGAGUCGGCGUGGCCCUCAUCGUCUACCUCGUCUUCACUCACCUCCCGCACAGGUUGAAUUGCAUGGCAGUGAAAUGUUCUUGCACAGACAUUACUGCAGCCUGGAGCGUCAGACUUGACUUGAUCAAUUAGCUGUGCCUUUUCCUACUUGAAUAGAUGGAGAUGAUUGUGAGAGCUACAUGGAAAGGAAAUCACAUUGCAGCAGCAAGCCAUCCUUUAUCAUUAGAAAGGGAUCAUCGUGGACGAGGAGUACGUCAUCAUGGGAUCAGCCAGCAUAAACCGGAGGUCCAUGGACGGCUUCAGCGACACAGGAGCAGCAUGGUCGGGCUGCUGCCGGGGCACACGAGAUCUUCCCCGACUUCGGCGGCAAGGUCCUCGGCACGCAGUCGUCGCUUGAUGCUUUCCCAAUGCCCUGACCGCGUAGUCAUGCACGAGCACGACGAGCUAAUGUGAAAUGUUGGUUGUACAUUACUUGUAGGAGUUUAUGAUUUAGUAUACAGAUCAGACGAGAUUGCUGCCGUCUUGUCCUUACGAUGUCUCUGACUGAUCAGAUGUUCAAGUCAACAUGCCUUAACAAGCCACACCUUUCACUCUGCAUCAUUCAUCUUACAAAGAUUCUUUCUUUAGAACAUCUGACAGAGAUUGUUAAGAAGACAAAUCAUUAUCAU